RNAcentral lists this ribosomal RNA (490 nucleotides) under uncultured bacterium. RNAcentral's name for it is "partial 16S ribosomal RNA". It matches the Rfam family "Bacterial small subunit ribosomal RNA", at positions 28 to 507 of the family's 1533-position model. The record is from RNAcentral.
GAUGAACGCUAGCUAUAGGCUUAACACAUGCAAGUCGAGGGGCAGCGAAUAGAUAGCUUGCUAUUUAUGUCGGCGACCGGCGCACGGGUGAGUAACGCGUAUCCAACCUGCCCAUAACUAAGGGAUAACCCAGCGAAAGUUGGACUAAUACCUUAUGUAUUCGUUUGAUCUCAUGAGAUUACGAAUAAAGAUCUAUCGGUUAUGGAUGGGGAUGCGUCUGAUUAGCUUGUUGGCGGGGUAACGGCCCACCAAGGCAACGAUCAGUAGGGGUUCUGAGAGGAAGGUCCCCCACAUUGGAACUGAGACACGGUCCAAACUCCUACGGGAGGCAGCAGUGAGGAAUAUUGGUCAAUGGACGCAAGUCUGAACCAGCCAAGUAGCGUGCAGGAUGACGGCCCUAUGGGUUGUAAACUGCUUUUAUAUGGGGAUAAAGUGGGGAACGUGUUCCCUUUUGCAGGUACCAGAUGAAUAAGGACCGGCUAAUUCCGUG